This 378-nucleotide ribosomal RNA is filed under the name uncultured bacterium. RNAcentral describes it as "bacterial SSU rRNA". It matches the Rfam family "Bacterial small subunit ribosomal RNA", at positions 790 to 1167 of the family's 1533-position model. The record is from RNAcentral.
GUAGUCCACGCUGUAAACGAUGAGAACUAGAUGUUGGUAGGCUUGACCUAUUAGUAUCGUAGCUAACGCGAUAAGUUCUCCGCCUGGGGAGUACGGCCGCAAGGUUAAAACUCAAAGGAAUUGACGGGGGCCCGCACAAGCGGUGGAGCAUGUGGUUUAAUUCGAUGCAACGCGAAGAACCUUACCUACCCUUGACAUCCUAAGAAGUUGAUAGAGAUAUUGACGUGCCGAAAGGAGCUUAGAGACAGGUGCUGCAUGGCUGUCGUCAGCUCGUGUUGUGAGAUGUUGGGUUAAGUCCCGUAACGAGCGCAACCCUUAUCCUUAGUUGCCAACACGUAAAGGUGGGGACUCUAAGGAGACUGCCGGUGAUGAACCGGA